Molecule: ribosomal RNA, 253 nt
Filed under: uncultured bacterium
Lineage: Bacteria
Description: partial 16S ribosomal RNA
Rfam family: Bacterial small subunit ribosomal RNA
Source: RNAcentral
UACGUAGGGGGCAAGCGUUGUCCGGAAUCAUUGGGCGUAAAGCGCGUGUAGGCGGCUCGGUAAGUCUGCUGUGAAAGUCCAGGGCUCAACCCUGGGAUGCCGGUGGAUACUGUCGAGCUCGAGUCCGGAAGAGGAGAGUGGAAUUCCCGGUGUAGCGGUGAAAUGCGCAGAUAUCGGGAAGAACACCCGUGGCGAAGGCGGCUCUCUGGGACGGUACUGACGCUGAGACGCGAAAGCGUGGGGAGCGAACAGG